Molecule: non-coding RNA, 270 nt
Organism: Pelobates cultripes (western spadefoot toad)
Lineage: Eukaryota; Metazoa; Chordata; Amphibia; Anura; Pelobatidae
Source: the annotation of a GenBank genome assembly
CUUUGUCCCCUUUUUUCAAUUCUCGGAACUUGCGCCGGUAUGCCUCUGGGGUAAUGGCAUACCUUUCUAAUAGCGCCUGCUUUACCUUGUCAUAAUUCUUGCUGUCCUCUCUGGGUACAGCCCGGUAGGUGUCUGCUGCACGCCCAGACAGUUUGCCUGCCAACAAAGGUACCCACAUAGCUUGCUCUACAUCAUGCAAGUCACACAAUCUUUCAAAAUCUUGCAAGAAUCCAUCUAUUUCGUCUUUAUCCUCGCAAAAAGUUUUAAAUG